GGGGGGUUAAGAUUUGAACGCUGGCGGCAGGCCUAACACAUGCAAGUCGAACGGUAACAGGAAGCAGCUUGCUGCUUCGCUGACGAGUGGCGGACGGGUGAGUAAUGUCUGGGAAACUGCCUGAUGGAGGGGGAUAACUACUGGAAACGGUGGCUAAUACCGCAUAACGUCGCAAGACCAAAGAGGGGGACCUUCGGGCCUCUUGCCAUCAGAUGUGCCCAGAUGGGAUUAGCUUGUUGGUGAGGUAACGGCUCACCAAGGCGACGAUCCCUAGCUGGUCUGAGAGGAUGACCAGCCACACUGGAACUGAGACACGGUCCAGACUCCUACGGGAGGCAGCAGUGGGGAAUAUUGCACAAUGGGCGCAAGCCUGAUGCAGCCAUGCCGCGUGUAUGAAGAAGGCCUUCGGGUUGUAAAGUACUUUCAGCGGGGAGGAAGGUGUUGUGGUUAAUAACCGCAGCAAUUGACGUUACCCGCAGAAGAAGCACCGGCUAACUCCGUGCCAGCCGCCGCGGUAAUUA
This 521-nucleotide ribosomal RNA is filed under the name Salmonella sp. Sal1223. RNAcentral's name for it is "bacterial SSU rRNA". It matches the Rfam family "Bacterial small subunit ribosomal RNA", at positions 30 to 525 of the family's 1533-position model. The record is from RNAcentral. Lineage: Bacteria; Pseudomonadati; Pseudomonadota; Gammaproteobacteria; Enterobacterales; Enterobacteriaceae.